UGGGGAAUAUUGCACAAUGGGCGCAAGCCUGAUGCAGCCAUGCCGCGUGUGUGAAGAAGGCCUUCGGGUUGUAAAGCACUUUCAGCGAGGAGGAAGGUGGUGAACUUAAUACGUUCAUCAAUUGACGUUACUCGCAGAAGAAGCACCGGCUAACUCCGUGCCAGCAGCCGCGGUAAUACGGAGGGUGCAAGCGUUAAUCGGAAUUACUGGGCGUAAAGCGCACGCAGGCGGUUUGUUAAGUCAGAUGUGAAAUCCCCGGGCUCAACCUGGGAACUGCAUUUGAAACUGGCAAGCUAGAGUCUCGUAGAGGGGGGUAGAAUUCCAGGUGUAGCGGUGAAAUGCGUAGAGAUCUGGAGGAAUACCGGUGGCGAAGGCGGCCCCCCUGGACGAAGACUGACGCUCAGGUGCGAAAGCGUGGGAGCAAACAGGAUUAGAUACCCUGGUAGUCCACGCUGUAAACGAUGUCGAUUUGGAGGUUGUGCCCUUGAGGCGUGGCUUCCGGAGCUAACGCGUUAAAUCGACCGCCUGGGGAGUACGGCCGCAAGGUUAAAACUCAAAUGAAUUG
This 565-nucleotide ribosomal RNA is filed under the name uncultured bacterium. Its description in RNAcentral is "partial 16S ribosomal RNA". It matches the Rfam family "Bacterial small subunit ribosomal RNA", at positions 355 to 912 of the family's 1533-position model. The record is from RNAcentral.